RNAcentral lists this long non-coding RNA (681 nucleotides) under Mus spicilegus (steppe mouse). RNAcentral's name for it is "lncRNA (ENSMSIG00000024269.1)". The record is from RNAcentral. Lineage: Eukaryota; Metazoa; Chordata; Mammalia; Rodentia; Muridae.
CUAAGUCACCGUCCCCCAUCCCCCACGGUCCCCUGUGAGAACCAGUCAGUGUGUUGAGCAUCAGCUGAGGCUUCCAGAUUCCAUGGGGAAUGACCCCCAUUGUGUGUGCUGAGGACCAGGCAGCCUCUGGCUAACUUCUUGCUUCUCGGUGUCCUGGGAACCGGUGCUGUUUGCUCCUGUCUGGAGCCUCUGUGGCUGAGCAGAGCACAUGCUGCCCUGGCCAGUGUUUCCAUAGCUGCCUCCAGGCUCCAGGCCCCAGGCUCCAGGCUGCUGCAGACUGUGAAUGAGGCCUCUCCUCUGCCCUCUGUGCUCUGUGCCAUCUCCAUGACUAAGCUUCCUGCCGUGCUCCUUCAGAUGGCAGGCCUCUGGGGCAAAUGUGGAUCCUCCAGUCUCCCAACAAGUUCUUCCAUGAGGCCCCUGAUCCUAAAGUCAAAGAUUCCAGCUGAAUCCAUGUGUGUACAAGUGCAUGUGACCAAUACAACCGGAGCCCCCAACCAGCCCAGAGAUGACAGAGGUGGAAGAGCAGCAGUAUGGGAGCCGUGGUAAGGGCAGCUGCUUCCAAGUGUGAACCGCCUUCAGAGCUGCUGAGGACAGAGUGAAGUCAUGCCAGUAAAGUGUCAGGAGCCAUGACCUCACCCAGUAAGUACUCAAUAAAUGCAGAUGUAACAAAUGCCCUGUGCA